CCUACGGGCGGCAGCAGUGGGGAAUAUUGCGCAAUGGGCGAAAGCCUGACGCAGCGACGCCGCGUGAGGGAUGAAGGUCUUCGGAUCGUAAACCUCUGUCAGCAGGGAAGAACGGUCCCUGUGCUAAUCAGCAGUGACUUGACGGUACCUGCCCAGGAACCACCGGAUAACUACGUGGCCGAAGCCGCGGUAAUACGGAGGGUUGGAGCGUGAGUCGGAAUUACUGGGCGUAAAGCGCUCGUAGGCGGUAUGGCAAGUCACGGGUGAAAGCCCGGGGCUCAACGUGGGAACUGCCUUUGAAACGGGCAAACUGGAGUAUGGGAGAGGAUAGUGGAAUUCCUGGUGUAGGGGUGAAAUCCGUAGAUAUCAGGAGGAACAUCAGUGGCGAAGGCGACUAUCUGGCACAUAACUGACGCUGAGGAGCGAAAGCGUGGGGAGCAAACAGGAUUAGAUACCCUGGUAGUC
This 465-nucleotide ribosomal RNA is filed under the name uncultured bacterium. RNAcentral describes it as "partial 16S ribosomal RNA". It matches the Rfam family "Bacterial small subunit ribosomal RNA", at positions 338 to 795 of the family's 1533-position model. The record is from RNAcentral.